AUUGAACGCUGGCGGCAGGCUUAACACAUGCAAGUCGAGCGAGCGGCGGACGGGUGAGUAAUGUCUGGGAAACUGCCUGAUGGAGGGGGAUAACUACUGGAAACGGUCGCUAAUACCGCAUACCAUCAGAUGAACCCAUCUGGGAUUAGCUUGUAGGUGAGGUAACGGCUCACCUAGGCGACGAUCCCUAGCUGGUCUGAGAGGAUGAUCGGCCACACGGGGACUGAGACACGGCCCGGACUCCUACGGGAGGCAGAGGUGGGGAAUAUUGCACAAUGGGCGCAGGCCGGAGGAAGCCAGGCCGCGUGGAUGAAGAAGGCCUUCGGUUUUAAAAGUAUUUUCAGUCGGGAGGCGGUACCGACAGAAGAAGCACCGGCUAACUCCGUGCCAGCAGCCGCGGUAAUAC
RNAcentral lists this ribosomal RNA (406 nucleotides) under uncultured bacterium. RNAcentral's name for it is "partial 16S ribosomal RNA". It matches the Rfam family "Bacterial small subunit ribosomal RNA", at positions 30 to 526 of the family's 1533-position model. The record is from RNAcentral.